ACGGGGGGUGCAAGCGUUAUUCGGAAUUAUUGGGCGUAAAGGGCGCGUAGGCGGUUUUGUCGGUCAGAUGUGAAAGCCCAGGGCUCAACCCUGGACGUGCAUUUGAAACAGCAAGACUUGAGUACGGGAGAGGAAAGCGGAAUUCCUGGUGUAGAGGUGAAAUUCGUAGAUAUCAGGAGGAACACCGAUGGCGAAGGCAGCUUUCUGGACCGAUACUGACGCUGAGGCGCGAAGGCGUGGGUAGCGAACAGGAUUAGAUACCCUGGUAGUCCACGCAGUAAACGAUGUUCACUCGGUGUAGCGGAUAUUAAAAUCUGCUGCGCCCAAGCUAACGCAUUAAGUGAACCGCCUGGGGAGUACGGUCGCAAGACUA
This 373-nucleotide ribosomal RNA is filed under the name uncultured bacterium. Its description in RNAcentral is "bacterial SSU rRNA". It matches the Rfam family "Bacterial small subunit ribosomal RNA", at positions 525 to 896 of the family's 1533-position model. The record is from RNAcentral.